GAUGAACGCUGGCGGCGUGCCUAAUACAUGCAAGUCGAGCGAACAGACGAGGAGCUUGCUCCUUUGACGUUAGCGGCGGACGGGUGAGUAACACGUAGGUAACCUACCUAUAAGACUGGGAUAACUUCGGGAAACCGGAGCUAAUACCGGAUAAUAUUUCGAACCGCAUGGUUCGAUAGUGAAAGAUGGCUUUGCUAUCACUUAUAGAUGGACCUGCGCCGUAUUAGCUAGUUGGUAAGGUAACGGCUUACCAAGGCAACGAUACGUAGCCGACCUGAGGGUGAUCGGCCACACUGGAACUGAGACACGGUCCAGACUCCUACGGGAGGCAGCAGUAGGGAAUCUUCCGCAAUGGGCGAAAGCCUGACGGAGCAACGCCGCGUGAGUGAUGAAGGUCUUCGGAUCGUAAAACUCUGUUAUUAGGGAAGAACAAACGUGUAAGUAACUGUGCACGUCUUGACGGUACCUAAUCAGAAAGCCACGGCUAACUACGUG
RNAcentral lists this ribosomal RNA (495 nucleotides) under uncultured bacterium. RNAcentral describes it as "partial 16S ribosomal RNA". It matches the Rfam family "Bacterial small subunit ribosomal RNA", at positions 28 to 507 of the family's 1533-position model. The record is from RNAcentral.